Molecule: long non-coding RNA, 1849 nt
Organism: Alligator sinensis (Chinese alligator)
Lineage: Eukaryota; Metazoa; Chordata; Crocodylia; Alligatoridae
Exons: 2
Source: RefSeq, a predicted model, not a curated record
CCCCCGUGUGCGUGCUCGUCUUCAAAACGGGCCAAGCGCACUCUGCGGCCGCCCGGUAGACACUCUCCCCGGAGAGGAGGCAGACCCGAAAAACAAGUUUUGCAUCGAAACGUUGCAACUCGGAGCCGCUUUUCCCCAUAGAAAACAAUGUUGUAAAUGGGGGAUUGGUUCCUGAACCCAGGCCCAAGACCCUGUUUUCACUAAAAAUACCCCAGCAUUUUGCACUCGAUCCACUACGGAUAUGUCAUAUAGCUACACGCGUGUAUCGAUAUCGUAAAUAGCAAUCCGAGCGAUUCGGAAAGACUUCUUUGAGGUGACUGUGCUGGACUUUGCGACGGGCUCCUGGCUGGAGGUUUUUCGGGGUCUCGUCGGCUUUCUGAAAGAAAGCGUCGGAGGACGUUCGGACAGAGGAGCGAGGAGCGAGGCGGCGAGCUCGUUCGCGGGCGUGGUGCGGCAUCCGAUGGAGUGUUGUGAAGUCGAAACUGACGUCAGGAAGUUGAAACAUGGUUUAUAAACGUGGUCGUAAGUGCAAAAUGUUGUAAGUCAGGGACUGCCUGUACAUCGAACGCGUCCCAGGGAGAAACGCUCCUCCGCGUUAGCGAGCUGGGACCGCAGCCUCACCGCAGGCCACGACGUAAAAAUGAACAGCUUGCCUCUCUGGUGUGAUACGCCCCUCUUUCAGAUUACGAUUUUUAUCAGGAUGGACUUCAAAUCUCAAUCAAGUCAGUCAUUUUUCUGGACGGGUACGUGAUGCACUCCUCAAUCCAGCAUCGGAAGUGCUAUUUAAAGAAAUAAGAGAAAGAAAUCAGGGCUUUAUCAGUGUCUGCACUAACCGUGCCCUGCAGGGACCGUCCUGCAAAAGUCACGCUUCUUGAGGGGUGGGAUUAGUGCGUGUGCUUUAAAUCCCUAUCUGCUAAGCGCUAAACAGAAACUGCCGCUGUCCGUUCUUGUUGCCACCAAAGGUGACGACUUCAGGCUGGGACCAACGUGAGCUGCGUAUGAUUCCAUGUUUUAAACCAACCUUUUUGGCAAGUAUGCUGCAAGUUAGCCCUGCAUCCUCCCCCAGCUCUGCUCCAGUCUCUUCUCUUGCCCAAUCUUCUGCUCUGCUUUCUGCCUCUUGCACGACUGCUGCCUGGAUGCCCGUCCCCUCCCCAAUCUGACCGUGUCAUGGGGUGGCCACUUCUGCCUUAAAUUGCCUCAGGUGGAAUUAAAGUGAUUUUAAAUCACCAGUUUUAAAAUCAUGAUUUAAGUCAAGGGCAGGAAAUGUUAAUUUAAGUUCUCAAUUCUAAUUUUGUUUUGCUUUUGUAUUUUUUUUUUAUAGUUAUUUUAUCUUUAAAGCUGAUUUUCACUGGUUGGUAAGCAUUAAAGUAUAUUGAUCUAUACAAAUGGAUAUAGGCCCACAAGACAACUUGGAACUUCUUUGUUAACUGAUUGUCAGAGGAAGACGAGCUUUCCUGCUUUUUUUGUUCCCAUUUUGCAUCUCAGCUUUGAAUGAAUCAGUCAUUACAUCAAACUAGUUGAAUAUAUUGAAAUAAAGGAAGAUAUUAUUUCUGUACCUGCAGAGGAGGCUGUGGCUUUCAGCAGCUGUUUUUUAUCAAAUUCUUGUCACUGGUGCUUAGCUAAUGAUUUCUAUUAGUUCAGUAGUUUGGUUGAGUGGAUUUAAAAUCUGAGCAGCAAACGUGUUGUCCGUAUCCUGUUUUUAUUUAAUUUAAAUGCUUGCUUGACUUUUAAAAAUGUGGACAUUAAUAUAGGUAGCUGUAUUUUUAUUUAGUAGUAGAAAUGUUUUUCAAAUAAGCCAAUUUAUAUUUUAAAAAGAUAUGAUUUACACUUAAUAAAGAAGCAAAGCAUG